Molecule: ribosomal RNA, 275 nt
Filed under: uncultured bacterium
Lineage: Bacteria
Description: partial 16S ribosomal RNA
Rfam family: Bacterial small subunit ribosomal RNA
Source: RNAcentral
AUACGUAGGGAGCAAGCGUUGUUCGGAAUCAUUGGGCGUAAAGGGCUCGUAGGCGGCUUGACAAGUCGAUCGUGAAAACCCGGGGCUCAACCCCGGGACGCCGGUCGAAACUGUCAUGGCUAGGGUCCGGUAGAGGUGAGCGGAAUUCCCAGUGUAGAGGUGAAAUUCGUAGAUAUUGGGAAGAACACCAGUGGCGAAGGCGGCUCACUGGUCCGGUACUGACGCUGAGGUGCGAAAGCGAGGGGAGCAAACAGGAUUAGAUACCCCUGUAGUCC